CCCUUAGAUGUUCUGGGCCGUACGCGCGCUACACUGACGGAGGCAGCGAGCGUGUCCUUCGCCGGCAGGUGCGGGCAAUCUUGCGAGUCUCCGUCGUGCUGGGGAUAGAUGGUUGCAAUUGUCGAUCUUGAACGAGGAAUUCCUAGUAAGCGCGAGUCAUCAGCUCGCGCUGAUUACGUCCCUGCCCUUUGUACACACCGCCCGUCGCUACUACAGAGUGCCCGUGUCCAAGAAACGGUCGGACCUGUGCGGCCUCUCCGGGCGACCGGAGGGCCGUUACGGGGAAGACCCUUUAUUUGACGCGGGUCGAUGAAGUAAAAGUCGUAACA
Molecule: ribosomal RNA, 329 nt
Filed under: uncultured eukaryote
Lineage: Eukaryota
Description: partial 18S ribosomal RNA
Rfam family: Eukaryotic small subunit ribosomal RNA
Source: RNAcentral